AUCGAACGCUGGCGGAAUGCUUUACACAUGCAAGUCGAACGGCAGCACGGACUUCGGUCUGGUGGCGAGUGGCGAACGGGUGAGUAAUGUAUCGGAACGUGCCCAGUCGUGGGGGAUAACGUAGUGAAAAUUACGCUAAUACCGCAUACGAUCUAUGGAUGAAAGCGGGGGAUCGCAAGACCUCGCGCGAUUGGAGCGGCCGAUAUCAGAUUAGGUAGUUGGUGGGGUAAAGGCCCACAAAGCCAACGAUCUGUAGCUGGUCUGAGAGGACGAACGGCCACACUGGAACUGAGACACGGUCCAGACUCCUACGGGAGGCAGCAGUGGGGAAUUUUAGACAAUGGGCGAAAGCCUGAUCCAGCCAUUCCGCGUGCAGGAUGAAGGCCCUCGGGUUGUAAACUGCUUUUGUACAGAACGAAAAGGUUUCUACUAAUACUAGGAGCUCAUGACGGUACUGUAAGAAUAAGCACCGGCUAACUACGUGCCAGCCGCCGCCGUAA
This 500-nucleotide ribosomal RNA is filed under the name uncultured bacterium. RNAcentral describes it as "partial 16S ribosomal RNA". It matches the Rfam family "Bacterial small subunit ribosomal RNA", at positions 30 to 523 of the family's 1533-position model. The record is from RNAcentral.